This 52-nucleotide non-coding RNA is filed under the name Lingulaulax polyedra. The record is from RNAcentral. Lineage: Eukaryota; Dinophyceae; Gonyaulacales; Lingulodiniaceae.
CCCCCGCCGCAGGUGUGGACGGCAAUUGGGCUUGCCCGGAGUGCCAGAACGU